RNAcentral lists this ribosomal RNA (1055 nucleotides) under Microbacterium oxydans. RNAcentral's name for it is "bacterial SSU rRNA". It matches the Rfam family "Bacterial small subunit ribosomal RNA", at positions 431 to 1488 of the family's 1533-position model. Lineage: Bacteria; Bacillati; Actinomycetota; Actinomycetes; Micrococcales; Microbacteriaceae. The record is from RNAcentral.
CUUUUUUAGCAGGAAAGAAGCGAAAANNGNCGUUNCUUCCAGAAAAAAGCNCCGGCUAAAUNACGUGCCCAGCAGCCGCGGUAAUACGUANGGGCGCAAGCGUUUUUCNGGAAUUUUUUNGGGCGUAAAGAGCUCGUAGGCGGUUUGUCGCGUCUGCUNUGAAAAUCCGGAGGCUCAACCUCCGGCCUGCAGUGGGUACGGGCAGACUAGAGUGCGGUAGGGGAGAUUGGAAUUCCUGGUGUAGCGGUGGAAUGCGCAGAUAUCAGGAGGAACACCGAUGGCGAAGGCAGAUNUCUGGGCCGUAACUGACGCUGAGGAGCGAAAGGGUGGGGAGCAAACAGGCUUAGAUACCCUGGUAGUCCACCCCGUAAACGUUGGGAACUAGUUGUGGGGUCCAUUCCACGGAUUCCGUGACGCAGCUAACGCAUUAAGUUCCCCGCCUGGGGAGUACGGCCGCAAGGCUAAAACUCAAAGGAAUUGACGGGGACCCGCACAAGCGGCGGAGCAUGCGGAUUAAUUCGAUGCAACGCGAAGAACCUUACCAAGGCUUGACAUAUACGAGAACGGGCCAGAAAUGGUCAACUCUUUGGACACUCGUAAACAGGUGGUGCAUGGUUGUCGUCAGCUCGUGUCGUGAGAUGUUGGGUUAAGUCCCGCAACGAGCGCAACCCUCGUUCUAUGUUGCCAGCACGUAAUGGUGGGAACUCAUGGGAUACUGCCGGGGUCAACUCGGAGGAAGGUGGGGAUGACGUCAAAUCAUCAUGCCCCUUAUGUCUUGGGCUUCACGCAUGCUACAAUGGCCGGUACAAAGGGCUGCAAUACCGCGAGGUGGAGCGAAUCCCAAAAAGCCGGUCCCAGUUCGGAUUGAGGUCUGCAACUCGACCUCAUGAAGUCGGAGUCGCUAGUAAUCGCAGAUCAGCAACGCUGCGGUGAAUACGUUCCCGGGUCUUGUACACACCGCCCGUCAAGUCAUGAAAGUCGGUAACACCUGAAGCCGGUGGCCUAACCCUUGUGGAGGGAGCCGUCGAAGGUGGGAUCGGAAUUAGGACUAGUCG